AAAAAAAAAAAAAAAACAAAUCUCGAUUAAAGGGGGGGACGUGGUGAUUGGAUCCACUCUACACAAAGAUAAGGUUGAAAUCAUCAUUAUCAAAAGUUUGUUUUGGAUCGAUGGAACUAAAUAGACAAGGAGUUUCAAGUGGCUUCGAGGAGACGUCGUGAGUGGUAUUUCGAUUGUCUUUCGGGUUUGAAG
Long non-coding RNA from Asparagus officinalis (garden asparagus), 192 nucleotides. RefSeq lists it as uncharacterized. The record is from RefSeq and is a predicted model, not a curated record. Lineage: Eukaryota; Viridiplantae; Streptophyta; Magnoliopsida; Asparagales; Asparagaceae. The transcript has 3 exons.